UACGUAGGGUGCGAGCGUUAAUCGGAAUUACUGGGCGUAAAGCGUGCGCAGGCGGCUUUGCAAGACAGAUGUGAAAUCCCCGGGCUCAACCUGGGAAUUGCAUUUGUGACUGCAAGGCUAGAGUACGGCAGAGGGGGAUGGAAUUCCGCGUGUAGCAGUGAAAUGCGUAGAUAUGCGGAGGAACACCGAUGGCGAAGGCAAUCCCCUGGGCCUGUACUGACGCUCAUGCACGAAAGCGUGGGGAGCAAACAGG
This 253-nucleotide ribosomal RNA is filed under the name uncultured bacterium. RNAcentral describes it as "partial 16S ribosomal RNA". It matches the Rfam family "Bacterial small subunit ribosomal RNA", at positions 524 to 776 of the family's 1533-position model. The record is from RNAcentral.